GGUGCCGGUCCCCAAGGCAGAGGGGCCCAGAGCUGCCAUGACGACGGGCGACUGCUGCCACCUCCCCGGCUCCCUGUGUGACUGCCCGGGAAGCGCCGCCCUCUCCAAGUCAGUGGAGGACUCUGACAUCAGUCGCCCGCAGUACGUUACGCAGGUCACCGCCAAGGAUGGACGGCUCCUCUCGACGGUGAUCAAGGCGCUGGGCACACAGAGUGACGGUCCCAUCUGUCGAAUCUGUCAUGAAGGUGGAAAUGGGGAGGGACUGCUUUCCCCGUGUGACUGCACAGGAACACUGGGCACCGUGCACAAGAGCUGCCUGGAAAAAUGGUUAUCCUCCUCCAACACAAGUUACUGUGAGCUCUGCCACACAGAAUUUGUUGUAGAGAGAAGACCGAGACCUUUGACAGAGUGGCUGAAGGAUCCCGGUCCCCGCAAUGAGAAGAGAACCCUUUUCUGCGACAUGGUGUGUUUCCUGUUCAUUACUCCCCUGGCGGCGAUCUCCGGCUGGCUGUGUCUGCGCGGAGCCCAGGAUCAUUUGCAGUUCAACAGCCGACUGGAGGCCAUCGGACUCAUAGCACUAACUAUAGCACUUUUCACAAUCUACGUCCUUUGGACGCUGGUUUCGUUCCGCUACCACUGCCAGCUGUACUCGGAGUGGCGAAGGACCAACCAGAAAGUCCGCUUGAUGAUCCCAGCCUCACGGAGCCCUCACCCCGUGCCCCACUCCCUCCUCUCCGCCAAGCUCAUGAAGAAGACUGCAGAUGAAACCACCGUCUGAGCCGUCCCUCGGCUGCUGCGCCACGUGGCUGCUGGGGCGAGGGCAGCCCUUCGGGGCUGGCAGAAGCAAAGAGGGUCGGGUGUCCCCAUGCGCGCAGGAAACGCGGUAACUGUGGAGGCACUAGAAAACAAUCAUCCCACCCGAAGGGACUUUGCGAUCCUGGCUCAUCCCCAGGACUCGGAUGCACUCAGCUCUUGGUAUGUCUGGCAAAGGUAGAUGGAGGAUCUGAGGGUGGGAAGCGAUGGCUCAUACUAGCUAAACCCACCAUUGCCUUUUGCUUUUAAAAGAUUCAGAAAGGAGCUUUCCUGACCCCAAAAGGUGAGAGUUGGGAGUCUCUGUUUGCUGAUGUCCUUUCACCAUCUUGAGGCUGGACCUCUUGUAGUCUCAGUUACACACGUACCUUACGGGACAGGCCGUGCUCUGCAGCUGCUUGGCAGGAUGCAGGUGGUCUGGGCUGUCUCUGUGCGCUUUAUUUGCACAUUCCUAGGCAGCAGCCGGAGGAGCUGCUGUGAUUUGGUUCAUCCCUGAAAGCGCUGCCUGCCUGUUGUGUCCUCUAGUGAAACACCCCAAGUUCGCUGGUUCCCAGAGAACAGGUUCUGGGUCCCUUCUCCUGCGGGGCCAGCGUUCCUCCUCCUCCUCCUCCUCCUUCAUCCACCUGUGUUUCCAGCACAUCCAGCUAACGAGCCCCUCUGUCUUGGAGUGCCCAAUCUGCUAAGGGUCUCCCUGAGUUUGGCUUUAGUCCUUGCCCCUCUACUGCCUCCCCCCCCGCCAGACGAUUCCUGUGCUUGAUGCUGUGCUUUCCUGAGCCCUGUGAGUGGGCUGGGCCAUAAGGACACCGGCGUUGGCACUGCCCUGCUGAGUGCUCCAGUGGUGUGUGCAGCUGCUUGGCGUGAGCCUUGGCUCUGACUCCUGCGAUGGUGAGGGUAGAUAGCAGGGAGGAGGCAGGCUCCAAGGUGCCCGUGUCCUUGCAGUGAGGGUGGUGCUCACACACUAUGUCCCUCUGCUCCUUUGCUGAACCCGAGUGGAUCAGUCCAAUGCCCUGCUAGAUCGAGACCUGUAAUUUCUUGAAUUCAAAGCACCGUGUGCCAUUCCUCCUUCUCUCUAGCUGCAGAGCAGGACGCUUUUCCUUACGUGUUCCCUGACCUUAGGCUGGAAGUCGCUGGUGGUAUGAGCAGCAGGGGCCAGUGUCCUGUCUCUCCCAACAGGAUUGCUCCAGCCCUGGGGCCUGGUCCGUGUCUGCUCUUCUUCUCCAUCUCCUGUCCCAGGGUUCUCAUGCAACUCGGUGAUAUCCCAGCAUCUCUCGCAGCAGCUUCUGUCUGCCCAGCUGUGGGCCCCUGUGGGCUGGUCCAGGCUCUGUUCUGAGCGUGAGGGUCUCAUUUGAUCACGGGGUGAAUGUCUUCUGCCACAGCCAGGCUGUGCAUCUCUGCUUCCCUCUCUCUGCCAGCCUCCCUGCCUGUCUCUUCCCUUCUGCCAUGUACCCAUGGGCACCUUCCCUUUUCCCUGUCGUGCAGGGAUGACUCGGUCCCCGGUGCUCCUGGGGGCUUGCAGUGCAGAGAGGCCUCUUCAGCCCAGCUGCAGUUACGGUCCCUGCACAGCAGUAGCAUCCUGCUUCAAAUCAGCUUGUGCAGUGGAGCUCCCACGCAGGCGCUGCCUCCCUCCGCGCACCCCUUCCCUUGGCGGUGAGUGUGGCAGCACUGCUCUGUGCCUUGUCCUGGGUACCCCCUCCUUCAGCCCCUCCCCGACAAACCCUGUGUCACCAGGACAUUCCCAGUGAAGAAAAAUUUGUGGGUUUAGUUUAACCUUUCCAGCCCUGGCUGCCUCCCAGGAGCUUGGUCUUGCAACUCAUCUAGUUCUGGCAGGUAACGAAGGAUGUGCACUCCCACACCACGUUCCCCUAGUAAGGACUUUGGAGCCAGUGUUUCAGUUAGGAAACCCACUGUUGAUCCAAAUAUGCAACUGUGAAAGCCAGAAGUCCCUGGCUGGGGGCAGUUGGGGCCCGGCCCGGUGCUGCUGCGCAGCCAUGGCUUCACUCUCAGCUUUGUUGUUUUUAUCGUAGUUGCCGAUAAUUGGAGUUGUUGCAUGUGCCCCUGCGAAACUCAAUAGUGACUCUUUGAGUCUUCUCCUCCUUCCCAGAGGAGACGUUCAGCUCGUGGAUGUGGGAAAUCAGUGAUUCUGACCCGCCACGUUCCGGUGUCAUGGGGAAACGGGCUGUGCAAUUAUGUAAAUAAAAGUGAGAGAA
Molecule: RNA transcript, 3017 nt
Organism: Gymnogyps californianus (California condor)
Lineage: Eukaryota; Metazoa; Chordata; Aves; Accipitriformes; Cathartidae
Gene: MARCHF2
Gene name: membrane associated ring-CH-type finger 2
Exons: 5
Source: RefSeq, a predicted model, not a curated record